RNAcentral lists this ribosomal RNA (253 nucleotides) under uncultured bacterium. Its description in RNAcentral is "partial 16S ribosomal RNA". It matches the Rfam family "Bacterial small subunit ribosomal RNA", at positions 524 to 776 of the family's 1533-position model. The record is from RNAcentral.
UACGGAGGGAGCAAGCGUUGUUCGGACUCAUUGGGCGUAAAGGGCGCGUGGGCGGUCCGGUAAGUCGGGUGUGAAAGCCCCGGGCUCAACCCGGGAAGUGCAUUCGAAACUGCCGGACUUGAGUACGGGAGGGGGAAGUGGAAUUCCUGGUGUAGGGGUGAAAUCCGUAGAUAUCAGGAGGAACACCGGUGGCGAAGGCGACUUCCUGGACCGAUACUGACGCUGAGGCGCGAAAGCGUGUGGAGCAAACAGG